CCACCUUCCACUGCCUGGAAACGGGACAGAUGGCCCCUUCUGGAAGCACAGGUGGUGCAGAGUGCCUCGCGAGCACUGAAGGUGUUGAGGGUCUGGCUCAUGCCCCACACUGCCCAUGUGUGGACUGCGGCACGGAAACAGCGCUCAGAGAGGCUCCGUGGCCUUGCCCCAGCUCGCAAGUGGUGGUGCAGGACGCCGAUGUCAGCGCUAUCGGGCUCUGUGACACUGUGCUAUCUGUCCACGCCCCUGGACCGUCUUAUUGAAGGCAAGCAAGGAGGAGAGAACAGGGAAGGCGGAGGGAACCCACACUGACCAGAGACUUUGCAGCCAGCUCACCCCUCCAAUUCCCCCGCCUGGAGUCCCUGACCCAGGAAUUUCUGCAUCAGGCUGCUCAAACCUGAAUUUGACAAAAUUUCAAAGCGCUGUUUCUUUAUGUUGAUAAGACAACGGAUAAAGUGCCAUACUUGGAACCUAGAUCACUCGAUGUUGCCUGUAGCUGAGUCCACCUCUGUCACUCAUCCUGCAUUGCCCUGCUAGGAGCAAGGGAGAGAAAGCCAGCCAGAAGGCAUGGGUGUGGGCUUAAAUCUGGCUCCUCCUGUAGCCACUGUGAAAGUUGAUCAUACAAAGGUCACUGUUGUCAUAGCCAAGCAGAGUUAGGAGACCAGGGGAAAAAGCACUUGGACCAUGUAACAUUGCUUAAGAGUAUAACUGUCUCCAACCCUGGCUGCUGGAACAAGUGUUGCAACCUGAAACCAGUUUGCUCUAAUAGCUACUGAAACAACCUGCGGAAAUCUAAGACUAGUUUCACCCACUCACCAAUGAGAGCUUGCCGGAUCCCCAAAACGUUGCUAGUGCUAAUGAACCUGCUUUCCUAACAAUCCGUAACAUUUCUCAUUUUUAUGAAACCUACAACCUUCUCUUUGCUCUUUGGACAUACUGAAGACCACCCAGUCUGUGUGUGUGCCCCAAACUGAAAUUCUUGCUUCCCAAAUAAAACAUUUUAAGCUUA
Symphalangus syndactylus (siamang) is the source of this 1009-nucleotide long non-coding RNA. RefSeq lists it as uncharacterized. The record is from RefSeq and is a predicted model, not a curated record. Lineage: Eukaryota; Metazoa; Chordata; Mammalia; Primates; Hylobatidae.